CCUACGGGAGGCAGCAGUGAGGAAUAUUGGUCAAUGGACGCGACCCUGAACCAGCCAAGUAGCGUGAAGGAUGACGGCCCUAUGGGUUGUAAACUGCUUUUAUAAGGGAAUAAAGUGAGGCACGUGUGCCUUUUUGCAGGUACCUCAUGAAUAAGGACCGGCUAAUUCCGUGCCAGCAGCCGCGGUAAUACGGAGGAUCCGAGCGUUAUCCGGAUUUAUUGGGUUUAAAGGGAGCGUAGGUGGGUUGUUAAGUCAGUUGUGAAAGUUUGCGGCUCAACCGUAAAACUGCAAUUGAUACUGGCAGUCGUGAGUACAGUUGAGGUAGGCGGAAUUCGUGGUGUAGCGGUGAAAUGCUUAGAUAUCACGAAGAACUCCGAUUGCGAAGGCAGCUUACUAAACUGUCACUGACGCUGAGGCUCGAAAGUGUGGGUAUCAAACAGGAUUAGAUACCCUGGUAGUC
This 460-nucleotide ribosomal RNA is filed under the name uncultured bacterium. RNAcentral's name for it is "partial 16S ribosomal RNA". It matches the Rfam family "Bacterial small subunit ribosomal RNA", at positions 338 to 795 of the family's 1533-position model. The record is from RNAcentral.